Helianthus annuus (common sunflower) is the source of this 398-nucleotide long non-coding RNA. RefSeq lists it as uncharacterized. The transcript has 2 exons. The record is from RefSeq and is a predicted model, not a curated record. NCBI's taxonomy places the organism in Eukaryota, Viridiplantae, Streptophyta, Magnoliopsida, Asterales, Asteraceae.
AAAAUUUACUAACAUGUCAUUAUGUACAAGCUUGAAUGUGUAUCCCGGGUAUAUGAACAAAUACAAUGGAGUAUGGAGCAACAGUGAUUGGGUCGCGGAGGUUUGCUUCGACUGGAUCUAGCGAAGGUGAUACUCUUCUCUUGUGAACUCUUUGUUGCGAAGUUUGGAUGAGUGUGUUUGUUUUAUUUGUCGUUUUGAUGCCACCGCUAUUGUCUCAUUCUCAAUCGUAACACCUACUUCGGUUUUUGUAAUCCCGUCGAGGUUGAUCAGUAAGAUAGUCAUCCCAUUCUGUCAAAUUUAACCGAUAUUAAUUUACAUAUAAACCCAGUGUUAAAACUAUGAGGACCGUGCAAUACAGAUGUAAUUUAUACGUAGAGAAUUGCAUGUUUCUAACUGUA